UGGUGUUAACAUUUAUGAUCUUAGCUCAAGGGAUCUUGCGGUCUUAGAUAACCAACAUGGGUGGUAAAGAUCAAAGAACUAACUGCCAUUUUAGCAUCAAUAAAAACCUGUGAAUGUUUUCUAAUGUUUUCUAAUUUUUAGGUUGGCAUGGACUCCAUUGUAUACGGAAAUGCACAUAGGAGUAUGUCUGUUGGGUAAUUGUUUCAUAAACUAAAGGAUUGUCCCAAAUCAGAUCUUAAAUUCAGAAAAAUCGUAGGCUUGGAAUGCCCUUAAGUUUUCGUUGUUUUAAGAUGUAGGGAAGCAGCAAAUUCUAACCAUGCAUGAUAAAAUGCUUUUGCUGGGUGGGGAGGAGAGAGGUGGCGAGUUAGGUAUCAUACAGUCGUGAUGGUUUUGGCUGGUCUGAAAGAAAAUGGGAAACUUAAAGCAAAGUUUCAGCAUAGUUUGGUUUGAGAUUCAGGUUUUUCGUCAAAAAUGUUGGGGGAAACUUAAAGAAAAAGACUUGAAACAAAAAAAAGAAAAAGAAAAAGUUAUAACACACCAUACUGGAGUAUAUUGCGUUAUAUAAUAUUUUUCUCUAUUUAGUUUUGAUAAUUUUACGCCGAAAGCAGUAUAUAAUAAGAUGCGUGAAAAAUCAUGGUAAUUGUCGACUACAUUGUAAAGUAGUUUAGUUCAUAGCACAAUGGUUCCAUAUGGCUGCA
Molecule: long non-coding RNA, 698 nt
Filed under: Phoenix dactylifera (date palm)
Lineage: Eukaryota; Viridiplantae; Streptophyta; Magnoliopsida; Arecales; Arecaceae
Description: long non-coding RNA (PDAC_LNC019242)
Source: RNAcentral